RNAcentral lists this ribosomal RNA (254 nucleotides) under uncultured bacterium. RNAcentral describes it as "partial 16S ribosomal RNA". It matches the Rfam family "Archaeal small subunit ribosomal RNA", at positions 474 to 727 of the family's 1478-position model. The record is from RNAcentral.
CACCAGCGCCACGAGUGGCGAUCGCGAUUAUUGGGCCUAAAGCGUCCGUAGUCUGCUCUGUGCAUCUUCUGUGAAAUCGCUGCGCUCAACGUAACGGCACGCGGAAGACACGGCAGAGCUUGAGACCGGGAGGCGUCGAGGGUACUCCUAGGGGACCGGUAAAAUGGUAUAAUCCUAGGAAGACCACCUGUGGCGAAGGCGCUCGACGAGAACGGAUCUGACGAUGAGGGACGAAAGCCAGGGGAGCAAACCGG